AGAGUUUGAUCAUGGCUCAGGACUAACGCUGGCGGCGUGCCUAACACAUGCAAGUCGAACGCAUCUGUGCUUCGGUACGGAUGAGUGGCGAACGGGUGAGUAACACGUGAGUAACUCCCCUUGGGGAGGGGGAUAACCAUCUGAAAAGGUGGCUAAUACCCCAUAUUCUCCUUUUUUGUCAAAGAAAGGAGGAAAGAUGGCGUAAGCUAUCACCCCGAGAGAGGCUCGCGUCCCAUCAGCUAGUUGGUAGGGUAAUGGCCUACCAAGGCUAUGACGGGUAGCUGGUCUGAGAGGAUGGUCAGCCACACUGGGACUGAGACACGGCCCAGACUCCUACGGGAGGCAGCAGUGAGGAAUCUUGGGCAAGGGGCGAAAGCCUGACCCAGCGACGCCGCGUGGAGGAAGAAGGCCUUCGGGUCGUAAACUCCUGUUCGGGGAGAAGAACAGGAGAGGAGUGAAUAACUUCUCUCCCUGACGGUAUCCCCGGAGAAAGCUCCGGCUAAUUACGUGCCAGCAGCCGCGGUAAUACGUAAGGAGCGAGCGUUGUCCGGAUUUACUGGGCGUAAAGAGCUCGUAGGUGGUUUCUUAGGUCUCACGUGAAAUUCCCUGGCUCAACUGGGGAGGGUCGUGGGAAACCGAGAAGCUAGAGGGCAGGAGAGGAGAGUGGAAUUCCCGGUGUAGCGGUGAAAUGCGUAGAGAUCGGGAGGUACACCAGUGGUGAAGACGGCUCUCUGGACUGUCCCUGACACUGAGGAGCGAAAGCCAGGGGAGCAAACCGGAUUAGAUACCCGGGUAGUCCUGGCUGUAAACGAUGGGUACUAGGUGUGGGGGGUUCGACCCCCUCCGUGCCGCAGUUAACGCAUUAAGUACCCCGCCUGGGGAGUACGGCCGCAAGGUUGAAACUCAAAUGAAUUGACGG
RNAcentral lists this ribosomal RNA (919 nucleotides) under bacterium enrichment culture clone L55B-10. RNAcentral describes it as "bacterial SSU rRNA". It matches the Rfam family "Bacterial small subunit ribosomal RNA", at positions 8 to 916 of the family's 1533-position model. The record is from RNAcentral.